AUCUAUGGCCGAAUGGUCUAAGGCGUUAUAUUUAAGACCUAAAGGACACUAGUCCGCGCGGGUUCAAACCUCACUGGAUG
This 80-nucleotide transfer RNA is filed under the name Ditylum brightwellii. The record is from RNAcentral. Lineage: Eukaryota; Bacillariophyta; Thalassiosirophyceae; Lithodesmiales; Lithodesmiaceae.